GCGUGGAAACAGAGCUCUCUGCUGUCCUCCUUCUAAAUAAUCAAAGUCCCAGAUUGUUGAAAGUCUUUAUUUGUAGAAUAAAUACUGUAGUUGGGUUGUUUACUAUGAACCUGGUGCAUCACAAGACACAAACAACCGACAGAUGAGGAAGUGAAGCUGGAAGUUUAAACAUGAACAACAUCAAUAGUGAGCAAAUGCGUGUGUGAACAAGUUUGAGAAAAUCAAGGGCUUGGUCACUGGAGUGUUUUCAUAAUGGAGUCCAGUGUUCAGGUAAGGCCAGGUGAGUGUUGGUGUUGAUACAGGUGUGUUCAGGUGGAGGUGAGACCAGGUUAGUGUUGGUGUUGAUACAGGUGUUCAGGUGGAGGUGAGACCAGGUGAGUGUUGGUGUUGAUACAGGUGUUCAGGUGGAGGUGAGACCAGGUGAGUGUUGAUACAGGUGUGUUCAGGUGGAGGUGAGGCCAGGUGAGUGUUGUUGUUGAUACAGGUGUGUUCAGGUGGAGGUGAGGCCAGGUGAGUGUUGAUACAGGUGUGGUCAGGUGGAGGUGAGGCCAGGUGAGUGUUGGGGUUGAUACAGGUGUUCAGGUGGAGGUGAGGCCAGGUGAGUGUUGAUACAGGUGUGGUCAGGUGGAGGUGAGGCCAGGUGAGUGUUGGUGUUGAUACAGGUGUGUUCAGGUGGAGGUGAGGCCAGGUGAGUGUUGUUGUUGAUACAGGUGUGUUCAGGUGGAGGUGAGGCCAGGUGAGUGAUGGUGUUGAUACAGGUGUGUUCAGGCGGAGGUGAGGCCAGGUGAGUGUUGGUGUUGAUACAGGUGUGUUCAGGCGGAGGUGAGGCCAGGUGAGUGUUGGUGUUGAUACAGGUGUUCAGGUGGAGGUGAGGCCAGGUGAGUGUUGGUGUUGAUACAGGUGUGUUCAGGUGGAGGUUAGGCCAGGUGAGUGAUGGUAUUGAUACAGGUGUGUUCAGGUGGAGGUUAGGCCA
This is a non-coding RNA of Oncorhynchus mykiss (rainbow trout), 973 nucleotides long. NCBI's taxonomy places the organism in Eukaryota, Metazoa, Chordata, Actinopteri, Salmoniformes, Salmonidae. The record is from RefSeq and is a predicted model, not a curated record.